CAUUUUCACCCCAUAUUUGGGCCCUGGGACCCCAAAUUUUUCCCCUUUCCACCCCAAAAGGAGGCUCAGGACCCCAAAUUUUGCCCUUUUCACCCCAAAACGAGGGUCAGGACCCCAAUUUUUGCCCUUUCCACCCCAAGACCCAACCCAGAACCCCCAAAUUUCACCAUUUUCACCCCAAAACCCAACUUGGAACCCCAACUUUUCCCCUUUCCACCCCAAAACCCAACCCAGAACACUCAAAUUUCAGCAUUUUCACCCCAUAACCCCCAAAUUCUGCCAUUUUCACCCCAAAACCCCACCCAAACCCCCAAAUUUCACCAUUUUCACCCCAGAACCCCCAAAUUUUCCCCUUUUCACCCCAAAAGGAGGAGCAGCAGCGCCCCCAGUGCCACCCCCAGUGCCACCCCCCGUGUCCCCCCCGCUGCCACCCCCGAUGUCCCCCCGGGGUCCCCAUCGGGGUCCCCAUUGGGGUCGGGGCCGAGCGGCCGCGGCCACCCCGGGGGGAGCGCCCCGAAAUCGCAGGGGUCCCCCCCGGGGGGCUCGGGGACAUCGGGGACAUUGGGGGGGUGGCCCGGGGACAGCUCGGGGACAGCGGGGGGGGGGGCCCGGGGACAGCUCGGGGACAAGGGACAGGAUCCAGGAGAGGUGCGGGGACACCCCCGUGUACACCCCCGGGCGGCCGGGGACCCCGCAGGCGUCACCCCAGCUGACCACGCCCGCCAGGUGCCAGGUGCCACCCAGCUGGCAGGUGAGGGGACCCCCGGAGUCACCCUGGGGACAGAGGGGACAUUAGGGACAGAGGGGACAUUGGGGGCAUUGGGGACAUUGAGGGGAUUUGGGGGAUUGGGGGACAUUGGGGACAUUGUGGGGACAUUGGGGGUUUGGGGACAUUGGGGACACCGGGGACACGGGGACACCACAGGCGUCACCCCAGCUGACCACGCCCGCCAGGUGCCAGGUGCCACCCAGCUGGCAGGUGAGGGGACCCCCGGAGUCACCCUGGGGACAGAGGGGACAUUAGGGACAGAGGGGACAUUGAGAGGAUUUGGGGACAUUUGGGGGUUUGGGGACAUUGGGGACAUUGAGGGGACAUUGGGGGCAUUGGGGACAUUGAGGAUUUGGGGACAUGGGGGGAUUGGGGACAUUGGAGACAUUGAGGGGAUUUGGGGGAUUGGGGACAUUUGGGACAUUGGGGGGAUUGGGGGGAUUUGGGGACAUUAG
RNAcentral lists this long non-coding RNA (1224 nucleotides) under Taeniopygia guttata (zebra finch). Its description in RNAcentral is "lncRNA (ENSTGUG00000023969.1)". The record is from RNAcentral. Lineage: Eukaryota; Metazoa; Chordata; Aves; Passeriformes; Estrildidae.